AUUGAACGCUGGCGGCAUGCCUUACACAUGCAAGUCGAACGGCAGCACGGGAGCAAUCCUGGUGGCGAGUGGCGAACGGGUGAGUAAUAUAUCGGAACGUGCCCGGUCGUGGGGGAUAACGUAGCGAAAGCUACGCUAAUACCGCAUACGAUCUAUGGAUGAAAGCGGGGGAUCGCAAGACCUCGCGCGAUUGGAGCGGCCGAUAUCAGAUUAGGUAGUUGGUGAGGUAAAGGCUCACCAAGCCGACGAUCUGUAGCUGGUCUGAGAGGACGACCAGCCACACUGGGACUGAGACACGGCCCAGACUCCUACGGGAGGCAGCAGUGGGGAAUUUUGGACAAUGGGCGCAAGCCUGAUCCAGCAAUGCCGCGUGCAGGAUGAAGGCCUGGUGU
This 392-nucleotide ribosomal RNA is filed under the name uncultured bacterium. Its description in RNAcentral is "bacterial SSU rRNA". It matches the Rfam family "Bacterial small subunit ribosomal RNA", at positions 30 to 422 of the family's 1533-position model. The record is from RNAcentral.